CUUAGCUCAGCUGGAUAGAGCACCUGACUUCUAAUCAGACGGUCGCAGGUUCGAAUCCUGCAG
This 63-nucleotide transfer RNA is filed under the name uncultured Henriciella sp. It matches the Rfam family "tRNA", at positions 6 to 65 of the family's 71-position model. From Rfam's summary of the family: Transfer RNA (tRNA) molecules are approximately 80 nucleotides in length. The record is from RNAcentral. Lineage: Bacteria; Pseudomonadati; Pseudomonadota; Alphaproteobacteria; Hyphomonadales; Hyphomonadaceae.